UCCCUGGUGGCUCAGCUGGUAAAGAAUCUGCCUGCAACGCAGGAGACCUGGGUUCGAUCCCUGGGUUGGGAA
RNAcentral lists this transfer RNA (72 nucleotides) under Odocoileus virginianus texanus. It matches the Rfam family "tRNA". Rfam says of the family: Transfer RNA (tRNA) molecules are approximately 80 nucleotides in length. Their secondary structure includes four short double-helical elements and three loops (D, anti-codon, and T loops). RNAcentral also lists the same sequence under 2 other names. The record is from Rfam by way of RNAcentral. Lineage: Eukaryota; Metazoa; Chordata; Mammalia; Artiodactyla; Cervidae.